CAUGUUGAAGCAGGCUCCUCGGCAGGCAGUCUCAUUGUUUCUGCCAAUGUGUAUCGUGAUGUCGAUGUGGCGCUCCAUGAGACCAACUAGGUGAGAGUGAAGUUGAUGAUGAUGUUAUGCACGUCGCUGAUGUCAAUGAGGAUGUGCACAUCAUGUUCGAGGAUGAUCCUGCCAAAAACAUGGUGUACCAUCCGCGCAUGCUAGAGUUUUGGGUGAUGUCAAAGAGGUGCUUGCACUUGUGGCCGUGGGUCAAUUGCUCAUCACAGUUCAAGCAGAGUCCCAUGCAACAACAUUCUGCCAUCUCCUAGACGGCGAGGCGCUUGGAAGCGCGAGUCCUGGUCGUCGAUGGUGGUGUUAUCGCUGGUGCUGGUGCAACAACUGUAGUCAAAGCAGAAGAUGGCGCCUUCAGUAGUGAAGGAUGAGGUGAGGCACGAACAGGGUUAUAGUUGUUUUGGUGAGGACGGGGACGACUAAGGCACAUCACUUGCAUGCUCUGGCCAUCAACAUGGCCAUUACCAUACCCCGUGUUUGGAGCUCAACGUCUGUCUCAAGCAGCUCUAGCAAACUUACCAUGUAGCUGUUGACCUACUUCUACUCGUCGAUGGGGCCUGCCCGUGCCACAUGCGCCAAGAAUCUCUCGGUGUAGUUGUCGACAGUCCUUGUCUUGCUUAAGGAUGCUAAAACGACAACAUAGGGUAUACCCACGAUGGUAGAUUGUACGGAGUGAUGCGCGUGAACAGGAACUAGAUGGCAACAGAGACAAGGUUUAGACAGGUUCAGGCGUCAACUCAACGUAACACGCUAAUCCUGUGUUCUGUUGGUUUGUAUUAUAUGUAUGUGGGAUAAUGAGACGAUGAGAUCUGUUUCGAGGGGUCCCCUAUGCUGCGGCCCAUGUCUUGAUUUUGUGGCUAGACUGUCCCCGAUGGUGUGGCCCAUCUCUCGCGCCAUAAGUACCAAGGAUUAUACCCCCCACAAUUGGUUAGGUUGAAGAGUGGCUGCUACAAUUGUUGUAGUGGUAGCGCCUGCUGCUGUUUUGGUUGCGCCGCUGUGGUGACGGUGCUGGUGUGGCAACGAUGGGUAUAGGAACUGGCAGGGUGAGCACCAUUUGCGAUGCUUGCCCGCUGGGCAUGGUGAAGGUGAUGGUGCGGUCACCCUGCUGGGACCAUAUCUCCAGUGAUGCGAAGUUCUAGAGGAUGCUAUCGAGAUUGGUCAUCCAUGGCAUGCCAACGACGAUGUUGACGCUGAGAUCCACUAGGAAGGCGUCAAUCUGGAAUGUCUUAGUAUCGAUGUGUAGGGGCAUGUUGAAGUAGGCUCCUUAGUAGGUAGUCUCAUUGCCGCUGCCAAUGAGUAUCGUGAUGUUGAUGCGGCACUCCAUGAGACCAACCAGACAAUCGAAGUUGAUGUCAAUGAUGUUAUGCAUGGCCGGUGUCGAUGAGGAUGCACACAUCUUGUCCUAGGACGAUGCCUGCCAAGAACAUGGUCCGCCAUCCGCGCACACUAGAGUUUUGGGUGAUGUCAAAGAGGUGCUUGCACUAGAGGCCAUGGGUGACUACUCGUCACGGUUCAAGUUGUUGUAAUUAUGACACACACACACACGAGGGGUUUUGGUACUGUCGGA
This 1618-nucleotide long non-coding RNA is filed under the name Sorghum bicolor (sorghum). RNAcentral describes it as "long non-coding RNA (SBIC_LNC010167)". The record is from RNAcentral. Lineage: Eukaryota; Viridiplantae; Streptophyta; Magnoliopsida; Poales; Poaceae.